Molecule: long non-coding RNA, 1312 nt
Filed under: Callithrix jacchus (white-tufted-ear marmoset)
Lineage: Eukaryota; Metazoa; Chordata; Mammalia; Primates; Cebidae
Description: lncRNA (ENSCJAG00000085142.1)
Source: RNAcentral
CUGUUUGCUUCGGGUCACCCAAAGGAGACCUCAGCAUGCGUUUCCUCGGCUUUUUCUCACAACCAAGGAGAAGCAGCCGCUGUGGAGCAAGUACCUGGAGCGGACCGUGGCAGGGAGGGGGCAACUCAAUUGAGAGGAAUCCUUCCACAGAAAAUCAAACCAACUGAUCAAACGUGUGGAAUUGCCUGUGUUAGGCACCGUGCAACAAUGGAGACAGUGACGGAAUCCAAAUUCCUGCCCCCGAGAGGCUUUCAGUCCCAUUGGAGGAGCCAAGGCUCCUGCGCACAUGGGUUUCUGAGGGAAAUGAAGACUAAAGAAAAAUCAGAGGAAUCAAGCAAGCACACGAGACCUCCCAGUGACCUUAUGAUAAAAUCUGCCUCUACUUGUUGACCUGAAGAAUUUCUGCUAUGUGAAGCUAAAACAGUCCGAAGCCCCGGGAUCUGCUGCUUGCUGUUUCAAGCCUUCACUAAGUCAUUGAGCUCACCCUGCAGAUGGGUUUUAGUUUCUUCAUCUGUAAAAUGAGGGUACUAAUGUUUAUCUUUUGGGGCUCUAUGAAGAUUAUGUCGAACACUCUAUGAUAAACACUUAGAAAAGCGACUGGUAUUUAAUAGUCAUUGAGUGGACGUGAGGUAAUAUUAGUUUUUGAAAUCACUUAUCAGGGUGCCUGUCAUCCGACAGGAAAUUGAUAGUUAUCAGGUGACCAAUGUAAGCUCUCUUGAGUCUUCCUACCCUUUUUCUUCUCUCUGCCUAGAGUACCCUUUGCCAUUACAUCCACUCGGCCACCCGCCACCUGGCCUUUCCCCUGAGGUCUCUUGGUGGCACUCCUCUAUGGUGGCGAUUGUUAUCCUUCAUUACUGUUGUUUUGCUUGUGUCUCUUCUCUAAACUUUGAUUCAUUAAAGGAAGUCAAAAUUUUCUUCGUACUCAAUUUUUAGCAACAUCAUGCAUGACAAAGUCACUAUAAAUGUUUGAUAAAUUAAUGCGUGGAUGAAGACAUCCAGUCUAGACUUUGGGAUGAAACACAUCACGUGGGGACUCUCUGGAAGUUAUAGAUGUGAAUGAGAUCACCAGAGGACUGUAGCACGGGCAGAGAAAAGGAUGAAGGCAGAAUAUGACAAAAAGUUGCUGGAUGGGAGGGAGUAAGCUCAGAGGAGGAGCAGAACUAAAAAAGAAAAUAGGGUAAGGAUGGGGUAAGUGAAGGAGUGAGAGAACGCAGAGAAGUAGAAAUCAAGAAAGAAGUGGCCAGAAGUGUUACAACUUUGUAUAAUCUGAGAAUAAGAUGAUUUGGACAGAUAUUGUACCUUGGAGGCCAUU